CUACUUGCUGACGACCGGCGCACGGGUGCGUAACGCGUAUACAAUCUGCCUUAUACAGAGGGAUAGCCUUUAGAAAUGAAGAUUAAUACCUCAUGGUCUAUUAAUAUAGCAUUAUAUAAAUAGUAAAGCUUCGGCGGUAUAAGAUGAGUAUGCGUCCUAUUAGUUAGUUGGUAAGGUAACGGCUUACCAAGACAACGAUAGGUAGGGGCCCUGAGAGGGGGAUCCCCCACACUGGUACUGAGACACGGACCAGACUCCUACGGGAGGCAGCAGUGAGGAAUAUUGGACAAUGGAGGUAACUCUGAUCCAGCCAUGCCGCGUGCAGGAAGACGGCCCUAUGGGUUGUAAACUGCUUUUAUAUAGGAAGAAACCUUUUCACGUGUGAGAAGCUGACGGUACUAUAAGAAUAAGGACCGGCUAACUCCGUGCCAGCAGCCGCGGUAAUACGGAGGGUCCGAGCGUUAUCCGGAAUCAUUGGGUUUAAAGGGUCCGUAGGCGGGAAUCUAAGUCAGUGGUGAAAUCUUACAGCUCAACUGUAAAAUUGCCAUUGAUACUGGGUUUCUUGAAUUAGUGUGAAGUGAUUAGAAUGUGUAGUGUAGCGGUGAAAUGCAUAGAUAUUACACAGAAUACCAAUUGCGAAGGCAGAUCACUAACACUAUAUUGACGCUGAGGGACGAAAGCGUGGGGAGCGAACAGGAU
Molecule: ribosomal RNA, 699 nt
Filed under: uncultured bacterium
Lineage: Bacteria
Description: bacterial SSU rRNA
Rfam family: Bacterial small subunit ribosomal RNA
Source: RNAcentral